AUUAGUUUAUGUCCAGAGAUGAUUAUGGAAUUAUAUGCUUUUGAUGCGAUAAGAAAACAUUUAGUUAAAGUUUUCUAUUUCUGUCAAAUGUUAGAUGACCAAUACUAACCAAAUGAUUUUGUAUAGUUUUUCAGUCAUAAGAGUCACUUCCUUACAGAUAUCUAGAAUAAAGAUGUUGAGCUCACAAAUUUUAUGUUCUAGAUCCCAUGACUAAUUGUUUUUCAAUGGGAGUAUGUGAAAGGUAUCUGUUUCAUUUUGUAGACAUUUACAAAGUUUUGUUUUACUCUCUUAAUCAGUGGGAGUAAUAAUAAUUUAUCUAUAUAAUUUUGUCUCUGUUAAUCAGUGGGAGUAAGAGAUGACCUUUUGUGUUAAAAAUUU
This 378-nucleotide long non-coding RNA is filed under the name Malus domestica (apple). RNAcentral describes it as "long non-coding RNA (MDOM_LNC017203)". Lineage: Eukaryota; Viridiplantae; Streptophyta; Magnoliopsida; Rosales; Rosaceae. The record is from RNAcentral.